AGUUUGAUCAUGGCUCAGAUUGAACGCUGGCGGCAUGCCUUACACAUGCAAGUCGAACGGCAGCGCGGGAGCAAUCCUGGCGGCGAGUGGCGAACGGGUGAGUAAUACAUCGGAACGUGCCCAAUCGUGGGGGAUAACGCAGCGAAAGCUGUGCUAAUACCGCAUACGAUCUACGGAUGAAAGCAGGGGAUCGCAAGACCUUGCGCGAAUGGAGCGGCCGAUGGCAGAUUAGGUAGUUGGUGAGGUAAAGGCUCACCAAGCCUUCGAUCUGUAGCUGGUCUGAGAGGACGACCAGCCACACUGGGACUGAGACACGGCCCAGACUCCUACGGGAGGCAGCAGUGGGGAAUUUUGGACAAUGGGCGAAAGCCUGAUCCAGCCAUGCCGCGUGCAGGAUGAAGGCCUUCGGGUUGUAAACUGCUUUUGUACGGAACGAAACGGCCUUUUCUAAUAAAGAGGGCUAAUGACGGUACCGUAAGAAUAAGCACCGGCUAACUACGUGCCAGCAGCCGCGGUAAUACGUAGGGUGCAAGCGUUAAUCGGAAUUACUGGGCGUAAAGCGUGCGCAGGCGGUAAUGUAAGACAGUUGUGAAAUCCCCGGGCUCACCUGGAACUGCAUCUGUACUGCGUUGCUGAGUACGCAGAGGGGAUGGAAUUC
This 658-nucleotide ribosomal RNA is filed under the name uncultured bacterium. RNAcentral's name for it is "bacterial SSU rRNA". It matches the Rfam family "Bacterial small subunit ribosomal RNA", at positions 10 to 669 of the family's 1533-position model. The record is from RNAcentral.